Molecule: ribosomal RNA, 458 nt
Filed under: uncultured bacterium
Lineage: Bacteria
Description: partial 16S ribosomal RNA
Rfam family: Bacterial small subunit ribosomal RNA
Source: RNAcentral
CCUACGGGUGGCAGCAGUGGGGAAUAUUGCACAAUGGGGGAAACCCUGAUGCAGCGACGCCGCGUGAGUGAAGAAGUAAUUCGUUACGUAAAGCUCUAUCAGUAGGGAAGAAAAACUGACCUUACGGUCAGUAGACGGUACCCGAGUAAGAAGCCCCGGCUAACUACGUGCCAGCAGCCGCGGUCAUCCGUAGGGGGGAAGAGUUAACCGGAUUUACUGGGUGGAAAGGGAGCGUAGACGGUGAGCCAAGUCUGGAGUGAAAUGCCGGAGCUUAAGUGCGGAACUGCUUUUGAUACUGGCGAACUAGAGUGCGGGAGGGGUAAGCGGAAUUCCUAGUGUAGCGGUGAAAUGCGUAGAUAUUAGGAGGAACACCGGUGGCGAAGGCAGCUUACUGGGCCUUAACUGACGUUGAGGCUCGAAAGCGUGGGGAGCAAACAGGAUUAGAUACCCCUGUAGUC